CCUACGGGAGGCAGCAGUAAGGAAUAUUGGUCAAUGGACGAAAGUCUGAACCAGCCAUGCCGCGUGAAGGAUGAAGGUCCUCUGGAUUGUAAACUUCUUUUAUCUGGGACGAAAAAAGGGAAUUCUUUCUCACUUGACGGUACCAGAGGAAUAAGCACCGGCUAACUCCGUGCCAGCAGCCGCGGUAAUACGGAGGGUGCAAGCGUUAUCCGGAUUCACUGGGUUUAAAGGGAGCGUAGGUGGGCAGGUAAGUCAGUGGUGAAAUCUCCGGGCUUAACCCGGAAACUGCCAUUGAUACUAUUUGUCUUGAAUUAUCUGGAGGUAAGCGGAAUAUGUCAUGUAGCGGUGAAAUGCUUAGAUAUGACAUAGAACACCCAUUGCGAAGGCAGCUUACUACGGAUAUAUUGACACUGAGGCUCGAAAGCGUGGGGAUCAAACAGGAUUAGAUACCCUGGUAGUCCACGCCCUAAACGAUGGAUACUCGACAUCAGCGAUACACUGUUGGUGUCUGAGCGAAAGCAUUAAGUAUCCCACCUGGGAAGUACGACCGCAAGGUUGAAACUUAAAGGAAAUUGACCGGNNGAGAGAGNGAGACGACGACGAGGGAGGAGG
This 612-nucleotide ribosomal RNA is filed under the name uncultured bacterium. RNAcentral describes it as "bacterial SSU rRNA". It matches the Rfam family "Bacterial small subunit ribosomal RNA", at positions 338 to 951 of the family's 1533-position model. The record is from RNAcentral.